Molecule: transfer RNA, 63 nt
Filed under: Chattonella subsalsa
Lineage: Eukaryota; Raphidophyceae; Chattonellales; Chattonellaceae
Source: RNAcentral
UAAUAGCUCAGCCGGUAGAGCGGUGAUCCUGCUAAGCCGAAGGUUGCGGGUUCAAUUCUUGGU